GGACUACUAGUAAUUUAGCUACUCAAAAUUUGUAUGAAUUAAUGAAUUAAUUUCAAUUAAAGUUGAAAAUAUAAUUGUACGUCUAACAUACCAACCUGGUCAAAGAGCAUUUCGUAUGAUUAUGUAUGUAAAUCCCUGAUACUCCUUUUAGUAUGAUAUGUUACAUUUCGUAUGGUAUGUAUUAAUUUGUGGAUGUCCAUCACCCAUUUCAUGUACUUUGUUCAUAUUAUAUGUUAUGAAUUUUCUAAAUUCAAAAUAGGUUACGAAUUUACAAAACACGUUACGAAUUUACAAAAACGUGAUAUUUUAUGAAUUCUAGUAAAGUGGCUAGGUGGCUAAUGUUAGCAAGCGGGCUAACGUUAGCUAGCUGGCUAAUGUUAGCUAGGCUAGGGCUUAGGGUUAGGGUUAAGUUUAGGAGUUAGGUUAAAGGUUUAAGGUUAAGGUUAAGGGAAGGGUUAGCUAAAAGGGUUAAGGUUAGGGUUAUGAUUAGGGUUAUCUAACAUGCUAAGUAGUAGCAAAGUAGCUAUAAGGUAGUAAGUAGUUGAAAAGUUGCUAAUUAGCUAAAAUAGUAAGGUUGACCGUGAUGAGAUUCAAACUCACAAACUUUGGGAUGCUAGACGUUUGCGCUAAAUGCCUACUGAUCCACCCUGACCCACCACCCAUAGGCCCACCCCAACCAACCACCCUACUUUCCUUUUUGCCUUAAGUAACCAUCUGUCUUAUGUAACCAUACCAACCAUAACAUAUGAUACUAAUUUGAAUGUCAGGGAUUUAAGUUUACUAUGUUAAGUCUAGUCUAUGAGACCAGGCUGAAGAUAUGGAUGAUCCCAUAUGCCCAUGUCCCAGGAAAGGGGAAAGGAUGACUGAAAAGAGUUCUGUAUUAUCUGUUUGACUGAUGGUCUGUCUAGACAGUGUCUCCUACAAUAUCGGUGCUGUUUGAUCAAAUCUCAACCUUCCAGUAGACUUUAGAGGUCUGCAGUUCAACUUUAUUUCAUCCAUAACCAGGGAUGAAAUAAAACCAGGAGUUUCCUUGAGUGGACCUCAAGGCCCGAGUUUGAAUACAUAGUUGGGUAUGAACGUUUAUCUUAGUUUUUACAAUUUAAUUAGUUGUUUUACUUUGUGCAGGUAUUGCCAUAUUCUGAAAAUAAUGACGAUAUACUGUAACUACAGUAGAUCUGAUACAACAAAACAAAUAUAGUUUAUUUAGUUAACAUUUCACUCUUCUUCGGUUUUAAAAUUACUGUAACAUGAGGUCAAAUAAUUUUCAUGGGAUGAUGCACUUUAUCUAUUGAACUAAUAUCAGUAUUUAGAAUUUUGACCAAGUCCCCCCUCCAUAGUUUAAUAUGAUCAGUCAUAAAAUGCAUGGUUACCAUAUUAGGACAGCCUGGUCCCUCUGUGACUGAGGCUGUCCUAAUAUGGACUCCGUAAUGUUUGCUUUUGUGACAUUAUCUCUUGAUACCUGCCAUGAAAAUGUAACUUUUGAUGCAGUUUACUGUCUGAUUUGUUGUAGUAACUGAAUUCCAAUGCUUUUGGUGCUCAUUUUGUCAUAACAUGUAAUGUAUCAUAUAUACUGCAGUUAAUUUAUUCAAGGUUACCAUGUGCAAUGCUUUUUAUAUUGAUUAAACAUAAAACAAACACAUUUUCACCCAUUACAGUAAGUCACUAGCUAGGGUAUGCACUAGAAAAAAGGUCUACCUAGAACCACGGUUUAUUUGGCUGUUCCUGUAGCUUGGUUAACCCUUUUUGGUUCCAGGUCAAAAGAGAGAAACACAGAGAAACACAGCAACUGUGAACUCUGCUGUCACCAGCUAUAGGCAUGGGUGGGAAAGACACAUGAGAAAGAGAGAGGGAGAGAAAGAGAUGGUGGGGGUAGAGAGAAAGAUAUGGAGAACAAUGCCUUGACAUUGGCAGGGAGAAAGAAAAUGAGAAAUAGAUAGAGGAUAAGCCUUGACGUGGGCAACACAUCCACCCUGGCCACUGCUGCGGAGGCCGCAGGGCUGGCAUACUGAGGCCGCAGGGCUGGUAUACUGAGACCGCAGGGCUGGCAUACUGAGACCGCAGGGCUGGCAUACAGAGGCCGCAGGGCUGGCAUACUGAGACCGCAGGGCUGGCAUACUGAGACCGCAGGGCUGGCAUACUGAGACGCAGGGCUGGCAUGCUGAGACCGCAGCAUGCUGAGACCGUACAAUGCUGUAACUCCAUUUUAAGUCAUCCAUGUUUGUGGCUUUUUUACGCCAUAGAUGUUGACUGGUAGAUGGAUCUGUUUGUGUUUUAUCCUUCUCCUUUGUCUUUUGCGUGAGUUGGCUAAAACAGAAACAAAUCUGGCGCAAAGCUCCAUGUUCACUGCACCAUUAUGGCCUUUUGAUGUGUUUGAAUGACCAACCAUCCUCAAGUCUAGAUGCUGUCAGCAGCAGCAAUGGACAUUUUCCAGGAUUAUAUAAUAUACCGUAGUCGGCUGUUAACAGUACAGUUCCUUAAUGAAUAUCUUUAGCAGAUCCCUUUGGUUCCCUCGGCCCACUCAUUCACAUUUCGUUAUUAGGGGCUUCAGUUAAUAUCGUCUUCAACAACAUUUUAUAUCACAACACCUACAUGUUAUUAUGAAACAGUGUUAAGUUAACCCACAACUUCCUUACACACACGCACAUAUGCACACAUACAUGCUCGCACAAAUGUAGGCAUGCACGUACGCACACAAACACCCCCCCCCCACACACAC
RNAcentral lists this long non-coding RNA (2716 nucleotides) under Salmo salar (Atlantic salmon). Its description in RNAcentral is "lncRNA (ENSSSAG00000110272.1)". Lineage: Eukaryota; Metazoa; Chordata; Actinopteri; Salmoniformes; Salmonidae. The record is from RNAcentral.